Molecule: ribosomal RNA, 270 nt
Filed under: uncultured archaeon
Lineage: Archaea
Description: partial 16S ribosomal RNA
Rfam family: Archaeal small subunit ribosomal RNA
Source: RNAcentral
CAGCACCUCAAGUGGUAAGGAUGAUUAUUGGGCCUAAAGCAUCCGUAGCCGGCUCUGUAAGUUCUCGGUUAAAUCUGUACGCUCAACGUACAGGCUGCCGGGAAUACUGCAGAGCUAGGGAGUGGGAGAGGUAGACGGUACUCGGUAGGAAGGGGUAAAAUCCUUUGAUCUAUUGAUGACCACCUGUGGCGAAGGCGGUCUACCAGAACACGUCCGACGGUGAGGGAUGAAAGCUGGGGGAGCAAACCGGAUUAGAGACCCGAGUAGUCC